This 615-nucleotide long non-coding RNA is filed under the name Capsella grandiflora. RNAcentral's name for it is "long non-coding RNA (CGRA_LNC001177)". Lineage: Eukaryota; Viridiplantae; Streptophyta; Magnoliopsida; Brassicales; Brassicaceae. The record is from RNAcentral.
GCUUUAGUAACACGAAGUUGUAAGAUUUGGGUAUGUUGUGGUAAGAAUUACAACAAAGUCAACGACAAAACAAAACCAAACUACGCAAUAAUCAAAACAUUCCCAAAUCUCACAACUUCCUAUCAUUAAGGAAACAAAUGGUCCGUAUUUCAGAAUCAAAGCAAACCAAAAAAAAGAAAGGGAAAAAAUUACAAAAAAAAUUCAAACAAAAAUUGAAAAGAGGAGAGCUCAAUUAUUGUAUAUAAAAAUAGCAAUGUAAACAGAGGACUAGAUUGGGAAACCUGGAACGAACAGAAGAGAGCUUUAAAAACAAAAACUAGUUUGAACGGUUGUGAUCAAAUGGUACAAUCCCCACCGUAAGUUUUUUCCUCUCCAUAGGGAUUACAAGAGAGGCAAAGCCCAAAUCAGUUACUACUUACUGCUACAACCAUCGUCUCAGCUUUCUUGUCUCAGCUUUUUACUAAUGAAGCAAUACAUGUCUUUGCCCUGUCACAUCUCGCCAUCUGUCCACUACUCUCUUCUCUUAUUGGCUCCCCCUCCUCCGUAGCCCUUCUGUUAAUAGCUCUCUCUCUCUAAAACUCUUAACAGUCUCUUCUCUUCUUUCUCAUUAUUUCG